Molecule: ribosomal RNA, 250 nt
Filed under: uncultured bacterium
Lineage: Bacteria
Description: partial 16S ribosomal RNA
Rfam family: Bacterial small subunit ribosomal RNA
Source: RNAcentral
GGAGGAUCCAAGCGUUAUCCGGAAUCAUUGGGCGUAAAGGGUCCGUAGGCGGCCAACUAAGUCAGACGUGAAAUCCCCCGGCUUAACCGGGGAACUGCGUCUGAUACUGGUUGGCUUGAGUGCAGGAGAGGAACGCGGAAUUCCAGGUGUAGCGGUGAAAUGCGUAGAUAUCUGGAGGAACACCGGUGGCGAAGGCGGCGUUCUGGACUGUAACUGACGCUGAGGGACGAAAGCCAGGGGAGCAAACGGG